Molecule: ribosomal RNA, 114 nt
Filed under: Cinnamodendron ekmanii
Lineage: Eukaryota; Viridiplantae; Streptophyta; Magnoliopsida; Canellales; Canellaceae
Description: 5.8S ribosomal RNA
Rfam family: 5.8S ribosomal RNA
About the family: 5.8S ribosomal RNA (5.8S rRNA) is a component of the large subunit of the eukaryotic ribosome.
Source: RNAcentral
GAGAUGACUCUCGGCAACGGAUAUCUUGGCUCUCGCAUCGAUGAAGAACGUAGCAAAAUGCGAUACUUGGUGUGAAUUGCAGAAUCCCGUGAACCAUCGAGUCUUUGAACGCGA